CUGCAUUUGCAUAUUAAAAGACUAGGUGGGAGGGCCCAUUUUUUCGAGGGCUAUGUGAAUGACAUGUUUAGUCAAACCAAUCCCCUAAGCCCUAUGCAGAUCAGACACCGCCUCCUCCAGCCUCCUCAUAUAAAGCUGGUAUCCGCUUCACUCCGGGUUUCCUCUCUUGGCCUUGGAGACCCUUUCCCUCUGUCUCCGUACAGGGAAGCUUCUUCCUUCUUUCUUUUUUCUUGCCUAUUAAACUCUCUGCUCCUUGAAACUACUCCACGUGUAUCUGUCAUUUUAUGCAAUUCAGCCUAAGACAAGAGCCCUGGUGUUCCUCCACUCAUUGAAGUCGUAUCAUUUCUUUUUCUUUUUCUUUCUUUCUUUCUUUUUUUUUUUUUUUUUUUUUUUGAGUCAGCGUCUUCGUCUUUCACUCAGGCUGGAGAGUAGUGGCACAAUCAUAUCACAGCUCACUGCAGACUCGACCUCCUGGGCUCAAGCAAUCCUCCCACCUCAGCUUCCCAAGUAGCUGGGACCACAGGCAUGCUCCAUCAUGCUUGGCUAAUUUUUGUAUAAUUUUAUUUUAUUUUUAUUUUUUUUUUUUUGGAGAGAUGAGGUUUCGCCAUGUUUCUCAGGCUGCACUCACACUCCUAUGCUCAAGCAAUCUGCCGGCUUCAGCCUCCCAAAGUGCUGGGAUUACAGGUCUGCACCACACACCUGGCCUUGGAUUUAUUUCUUUUAGUCCAAAUACUCCUUUAAUAUUUCUGCAGUCUUAUAAUUACAAUAUCUGAUCAGGAAGUGAGUCUCCUUUCAUUAAUGUUGUGUGAACUCUCUUUAAAUCAAUUAAUGUAAACAGUAUAUUUUCCAGGAGAGUAAAUUUUUCUUAAAUUGUAUACUUGAUUUUAGUUUCUGUUUCAAGUUUUGUAAUUUGAUUCUUUUUCAGAAAUACCUAUAGAGAAUCAAAUCUUUCUUUUUUCUCCCACAGAUACCAUCUUCUCUUUGAUAGCUUUCAUGUUUUGUACUUUUCAACUUUUUUUUCUAUAUUCUAGGAUGGUUUCUCAAAUUCUCUGAUGUGUUCAUUUUGUUUUGCUAUUUCGAAUAUGGAUUUAGUUUAGGUCAUUUAAGGGAUCUGCAUUCCUUUAAGUGUGUUGUUGAUAUGGUAAUUGGGUCAUGGGGGUGGUUUCCCCACCCUGUUCUCAUGAUAAUGAGUGAGUCUCAGGAGAUCUGAUGGUUUUGUAAGUGUCUGGCAUUUCCCCUGCUUGCACUCAUUCCAUCCUGCCCCCUGUGAAGAAGGUGCCUUUUUCUCCUUUGCCUGCUGCCAGGAUUCUAAGUUUCCUGAGGCCCCACCCAGCAAUGCAGAACUAGUAGUAUCCUGAGAAGAAGAGGAAGCAACCAGAGUUCUCCCUCUGCCAUGUGAGAAGACAGUAGAAUGUGGCUGUCUGUAGCCAGAAAGAGAGACUUAUCGAGAACUAAAUUGGCUGGCACCUUAUUCUUGGACUUCCCAGCCUUCAGAUCUGUGAGAAAUAAACAUCUGUUGUUGAAGUCACCCAGUCUAUGGUGUUUCGUUAUAGUAACUGGAGAAGUCUAAGAGAAUACAGCAAAAUGGUUUGAAUAUGUUUUAAUUCUACAAUUAAAAUGUUGGAAGAAAAGAAGUGUGGUAUAAUUCACAUUUAAAAAAUUAUAUUCAAUUUAUUUUUUGGAAAGUAUAUUUAUGUUUAUCUUUCAGACUCUGGUAAUGACUGCCAGGUCUCAGUCUUCAGUUUGAAGUUCUCACUGAGCUUCACACCUUUGUCCCUGUCUGUUGUAUUUACUUCUUUGGAUAAAACGUCCCCAUUAUGUAUGGUAGGUUAAGAAAAAAAAAAUCCCUUCUUCAUUUCUUUUCACAGGCAUUACUGUCCACCAGCCAUCUAGGCUUGAGAACUUGGAGACCUCCAUGGAAAAGUCUUGCUCCCUAAACUUCUUUACUAAACAUCCAAGAUCCCCUCUUUUCUAUAUGCCUAAAUUAUAAAAUUUCUAGCACAGAACUUUUUAUUUAUAAACAAUUCUACAUUUUAAGCAUUUAUUCAUAUGUGUCUUAUUUGUUUCUUUAAUUUAUUAUAAAUUUGAUGGCAUGGAACCCAAAUUUGUCUUCUAUAUCUCUCCUAACAUUUAACAUAGAGCUAGGUAACUAAUGAUGCUUAGCUAAUUCUUUUCUAUGAUUAUGACUG
Molecule: long non-coding RNA, 2189 nt
Filed under: Homo sapiens (human)
Lineage: Eukaryota; Metazoa; Chordata; Mammalia; Primates; Hominidae
Description: HSALNT0076492
Source: RNAcentral